GUGCCAGCAGCCGCGGUAAGACGUAGGUGGCAAGCGUUGUUCGGAAUCACUGGGCAUAAAGCGCGCGUAGGCGGCUAAGUCAGUCGGGUGUGAAAUCCCUCGGCUCAACCGAGGAACUGCGCCCGAUACUGCUUGGCUUGAGGAUCGGAGGGGAGAGUGGAAUUCCCGGUGGAGCGGUGAAAUGCGUAGAGAUCGGGAAGAACGCCGGCGGCGAAAGCGACUCUCUGGUCGACCCCUGACGCUGAGGCGCGAAAGCUAGGGGAGCAAACGGGAUUAGAAACCCGAGUAGUCC
Molecule: ribosomal RNA, 292 nt
Filed under: uncultured bacterium
Lineage: Bacteria
Description: partial 16S ribosomal RNA
Rfam family: Bacterial small subunit ribosomal RNA
Source: RNAcentral